This is a small nucleolar RNA of Peromyscus leucopus (white-footed mouse), 201 nucleotides long. RefSeq annotates it as small nucleolar RNA SNORA73 family. The record is from RefSeq and is a predicted model, not a curated record. Lineage: Eukaryota; Metazoa; Chordata; Mammalia; Rodentia; Cricetidae. The transcript has a single exon.
UCAACAUGGAUACCCUGGGAGAUCACUCUCCCCAGCUCUGUCCUAGUACCAGAGGGUAGCAGGGGGCUCGGCCCAUGAUAUACAGGCCCUUUCCACAACACUGGAAGUGAAACUGGCCUCUCAGCCAGGGCUGCACAUUCCUACGACUUUCCAGAGUCCUGUGGGCAAUGACUAAGGAGGCGAAGCAUGCAGGAAGCAGGC